UCAGGAUGAACGCUGGCGGCGUGCCUAACACAUGCAAGUCGAACGAAGCACAUACGACAGAACUCUUCGGAGGGAAGAUGUAUGUGACUGAGUGGCGGACGGGUGAGUAACGCGUGGGUAACCUGCCCUAUACAGGGGGACAACAGUUGGAAACGACUGCUAAUACCGCAUAAGCGCACAGUACCGCAUGGUACAGAGCGAAAAAACUCCGGUGGUAUAGGAUGGGCCCGCGUCUGAUUAGUUAGUUGGCGGUGUAACGGACCACCAAGACGACGAUCAGUAGCCGGCUUGAGAGAGUGAACGGCCACAUUGGGACUGAGACACGGCCCAAACUCCUACGGGAGGCAGCAGUGGGGAAUAUUGCACAAUGGGGGAAACCCUGAUGCAGCAACGCCGCGUGAGUGAAGAAGUAUUUCGGUAUGUAAAGCUCUAUCAGCAGGGAAGAAAAUGACGGUACCUGACUAAGAAGCCCCGGCUAACUACGUG
This 486-nucleotide ribosomal RNA is filed under the name uncultured bacterium. RNAcentral's name for it is "bacterial SSU rRNA". It matches the Rfam family "Bacterial small subunit ribosomal RNA", at positions 24 to 507 of the family's 1533-position model. The record is from RNAcentral.